UGGCGAGUGGCGGACGGGUUAGGAAUAUAUCGGAAUCUACUCUUUCGUGGGGGAUAACGUAGGGAAACUUACGCUAAUACCGCAUACGACCUACGGGUGAAAGCGGAGGACCUUCGGGCUUCGCGCGAUUGAAUGAGCCGAUGUCGGAUUAGCUAGUUGGCGGGGUAAAGGCCCACCAAGGCGACGAUCCGUAGCUGGUCUGAGAGGAUGAUCAGCCACACUGGAACUGAGACACGGUCCAG
Molecule: ribosomal RNA, 242 nt
Filed under: uncultured Lysobacterales bacterium
Lineage: Bacteria; Pseudomonadati; Pseudomonadota; Gammaproteobacteria; Lysobacterales
Description: uncultured Xanthomonadales bacterium partial 16S ribosomal RNA
Rfam family: Bacterial small subunit ribosomal RNA
Source: RNAcentral